GGCAGUGUGGUGUAGUGGUAAGGUGCAAGGCUGGUAACUGAAAGGUUGCUGGUUUGAUUCCGGGCACUGUUG
Molecule: non-coding RNA, 72 nt
Organism: Megalops atlanticus (tarpon)
Lineage: Eukaryota; Metazoa; Chordata; Actinopteri; Elopiformes; Megalopidae
Source: the annotation of a GenBank genome assembly